Molecule: non-coding RNA, 1461 nt
Organism: Monodelphis domestica (gray short-tailed opossum)
Lineage: Eukaryota; Metazoa; Chordata; Mammalia; Didelphimorphia; Didelphidae
Source: RefSeq, a predicted model, not a curated record
AGCUUGGACGAUGUGGUCACAGAUGCCCUUUCCAUCUCUCAGACUUUGUGAUACCAUGAUCCUCUAUCCAAUCACCACCUCUCCUUUCUGAGUUUGAGUGCUCAGGGCAAUUAUAACUCCAUUAUGACCUGAUUAACCGCAGCACCAACUGCCACAAAUGCCAAUGGGAAUACCCUGUCCCUUUCCCCAUCAUCAUAUCCACCUCCUGCCUCCUGGAUCACUUCAAGGCUACAGUAAAUAGCCUUUGUGGCAUGGGCUAGGCACUCCAAGAGCAUUGACUACAUGGGGUAGGAGUGAUAUGUGUGAGAAAAAGGCUUCCAUGGCUUUGGCUGAAAUCUUCUACUGCUAGGAAGACACAGAAGAAAUGCCUGGACCAAAGAGUCCCGGGACCACACAGGAUUGGAGUGGAUCAUGGAAAACAAUAUGGCCAAAAGAGUCAAAGGUGAUAUUUUUUCCCAACCAUAUGGUGCUAACUGCAGUCCUUGGGCUGAAACAGGCCCCUGCAAGAAGCAAAAAGGAGACAGAAAGGCUUCUGAACCUCAACAAGAAGUGAUGCCAAGAGGUACUGCUAGGAAUAUCCAAGGAAGUGCCAUGGAGAGAGGUAGAAAGAGGACUAUAGAGAGGAACAGGCUUCCUGCACAGGGGAGGCCAUGUACCUUGAAGAUAUACAUCAAAGGAGCAAUGUUUUGUCAAAAGCUGCUGAAAAGGUUUGAGCCCAACACCGUUGACUAAAUGCCCUGAAUUCGGUGAGUGCUGCCAACAGUUUCUUUAUGCAUGCGUGGCAAUGGCAAGAAAACAUUGCCUGAAAAUCAGGUAGCUUCUAGCUCAGCCCAUCUCCUCCCUGAGUGCCCCUGAAUCCUGUCUAUUUAUUUUACUGACAACAAACCUGUUUUUAAUCUGUCUACAACACUGAACCAGCAGAGCAAAGGGAAAAGAAGAGAGGAUUCCAUUUCUUGUGAAUUAUUAUUAGCAAGUUGUCAACAGCUAUAAAUCCAGGUUAUUAAAGACAAUACAGAAAGGCAAAAAGAAUACAGUACAUCUCACAGAUCCUGGUGGAAUUUUCACAUGCUGGCAGGGUAGGAAAAAAAGUCACUCCCUGAGCUGUAAAUUGAACAAAUGUGAUCUAUAUCAUGGACUUAGAAUAAAUAAUUAUUGGUGGCAGAAAUUGUUUAUUGUGAUUUACUGAGUAUGCCAAGCAUUUCUUAAUUGUGAAACAUGGAAUCUGAAAAACAGUCUCCAAGGAGUGAUGACUCAAUGAUUCAAGAGCAGCUCGCAAAGAUGAACUAGGUGGUAGGAGAGAAAUUUUGAAAAAAAAAAAAAGGCGUCAAUUGUUCAUUGGCCCCCAGGUAUAUAUGUUCCUUUCUCUGCCAGUGACCUUGAAGAGGGAUAUUGGGAAAGAGCUAUAGUAUAGUGCAAUGAUUUUCAAACUUUUUGGUCUUUGGACCCUUUUAUGCUCCAAAA